This 440-nucleotide ribosomal RNA is filed under the name uncultured Sulfurimonas sp. RNAcentral's name for it is "bacterial SSU rRNA". It matches the Rfam family "Bacterial small subunit ribosomal RNA", at positions 338 to 795 of the family's 1533-position model. The record is from RNAcentral. Lineage: Bacteria; Pseudomonadati; Campylobacterota; Epsilonproteobacteria; Campylobacterales; Sulfurimonadaceae.
CCUACGGGGGGCUGCAGUGAGGAAUAUUGCACAAUGGAGGAAACUCUGAUGCAGCAACGCCGCGUGGAGGAUGACGCAUUUCGGUGUGUAAACUCCUUUUAUGAGUCAAGAAAAUGACGGUAGCUCAUGAAUAAGCACCGGCUAACUCCGUGCCAGCAGCCGCGGUAAUACGGAGGGUGCAAGCGUUAUUCGGAAUCACUGGGCGUAAAGGACGCGUAGGCGGGAUGCCAAGUCUGAUGUGAAAUCCUAUGGCUUAACCAUAGAACUGCAUUGGAAACUGGCAACCUAGAGUAUGGGAGGGGGAGAUGGAAUUAGUGGUGUAGGGGUAAAAUCCGUAGAUAUCACUAGGAAUACCGAAAGCGAAGGCGAUCUCCUGGAACAUAACUGACGCUAAGGCGUGAAAGCGUGGGGAGCAAACGGGAUUAGAUACCCCUGUAGUC